GCGGAUGGAGCCGAAGCCAGUCGAAGAUACCAGCUGGCUGCAACUGUUUAAUAAAAACACAGCACUCUGCAAACACGAAAGUGGACGUAUAGGGUGUGACGCCUGCCCGGUGCUGGAAGGUUAAUUGAUGGGGUCAGCCGCAAGGCGAAGCUCUUGAUCGAAGCCCCAGUAAACGGCGGCCGUAACUAUAACGGUCCUAAGGUAGCGAAAUUCCUUGUCGGGUAAGUUCCGACCUGCACGAAUGGCGUAAUGAUGGCCAGGCUGUCUCCACCCGAGACUCAGUGAAAUUGAACUCGCUGUGAAGAUGCAGUGUACCCGCGGCAAGACGGAAAGACCCCGUGAACCUUUACUAUAGCUUGACACUGAACAUUGAACCUUGAUGUGUAGGAUAGGUGGGAGGCUUUGAAGUGUGGACGCCAGUCUGCAUGGAGCCGACCUUGAAAUACCACCCUUUAAUGUUUGAUGUUCUAACCUGGCCCCGUGAUCCGGGGUAGGGACAGUGUCUGGUGGGUAGUUUGACUGGGGCGGUCUCCUCCCAAAGAGUAACGGAGGAGCACGAAGGUUAGCUAAUCCUGGUCGGACAUCAGGAGGUUAGUGCAAAGGCAUAAGCUAGCUUGACUGCGAGAGUGACGGCUCGAGCAGGUGCGAAAGCAGGUCUUAGUGAUCCGGUGGUUCUGAAUGGAAGGGCCAUCGCUCAACGGAUAAAAGGUACUCCGGGGAUAACAGGCUGAUACCGCCCAAGAGUUCAUAUCGACGGCGGUGUUUGGCACCUCGAUGUCGGCUCAUCACAUCCUGGGGCUGAAGUAGGUCCCAAGGGUAUGGCUGUUCGCCAUUUAAAGUGGUACGCGAGCUGGGUUUAGAACGUCGUGAGACAGUUCGGUCCCUAUCUGCCGUGGGCGUUGGAAGAUUGAGAGGGGCUGCUCCUAGUACGAGAGGACCGGAGUGGACGCACCGCUGGUGUUCGGGUUGUGAUGCCAAUUGCAUUGCCCGGUAGCUACGUGCGGAAAAGAUAAGCGCUGAAAGCAUCUAAGCGCGAAACUUGCCUCGAGAUGAGUCUUCCCUUGGGCCUUGAG
This 1073-nucleotide ribosomal RNA is filed under the name Edwardsiella anguillarum ET081126R. RNAcentral's name for it is "bacterial LSU rRNA". It matches the Rfam family "Bacterial large subunit ribosomal RNA", at positions 1757 to 2824 of the family's 2925-position model. The record is from RNAcentral. Lineage: Bacteria; Pseudomonadati; Pseudomonadota; Gammaproteobacteria; Enterobacterales; Hafniaceae.